RNAcentral lists this small nucleolar RNA (80 nucleotides) under Mus pahari (shrew mouse). Its description in RNAcentral is "predicted gene, 24339 (MGP_PahariEiJ_G0034014.1)". It matches the Rfam family "Small nucleolar RNA U2-19". From Rfam's summary of the family: U2-19 is a member of the C/D class of snoRNA which contain the C (UGAUGA) and D (CUGA) box motifs. The record is from RNAcentral. Lineage: Eukaryota; Metazoa; Chordata; Mammalia; Rodentia; Muridae.
GAUCAGUGAUGAAAAUAGCCAAAUCUGAGCGUCAGGGGGCCUUUUGGUCUGCUUGGUGCAUGAUCUCUAUAGUUCUGAGA